RNAcentral lists this non-coding RNA (102 nucleotides) under Bacillus sp. (in: firmicutes). RNAcentral's name for it is "Bacillus sp. Guanine sequence". It matches the Rfam family "Purine riboswitch aptamer". From Rfam's summary of the family: Riboswitches are metabolite binding domains within certain messenger RNAs that serve as precision sensors for their corresponding targets. Allosteric rearrangement of mRNA structure is mediated by ligand binding, and this results in modulation of gene expression. A class of riboswitches that selectively recognises guanine and becomes saturated at concentrations as low as 5 nM. The record is from RNAcentral. Lineage: Bacteria; Bacillati; Bacillota; Bacilli; Caryophanales; Bacillaceae. RNAcentral also lists the same sequence under 1 other name.
UAGAAUAAUGUCGCAUGCCGUCGUAUAAAAUUGGGGAUAUGGCCCAAUAGUUUCUACCAAGCCGCCGUAAAGGGCUUGACUACGAGGUAAGUGUAAAUGGAA